Molecule: unclassified non-coding RNA, 305 nt
Filed under: plant metagenome
Description: partial contains 5.8S ribosomal RNA, internal transcribed spacer 2, and large subunit ribosomal RNA
Rfam family: 5.8S ribosomal RNA (bases 1-105)
Source: RNAcentral
GAAAUGCGAUAAGUAGUGUGAAUUGCAGAAUUCAGUGAAUCAUCGAAUCUUUGAACGCACAUUGCGCCCUUUGGUAUUCCUUAGGGCAUGCCUGUUCGAGCGUCAUCUAAACCUUCAAGCCCUGCUUGGUGUUGGGUGCCUGUCCCGCCUCCGCGCGCGGACUCACCUCAAAUCCAUUGGCGGCCCCCGCGUCGGCCACGAGCGCAGCAGAAACGCGAACUCGUGAGCCCGUCCGAGCGGCUCCCAGAAGCUACACCCACCCAGUUUGACCUCGGAUCAGGUAGGGAUACCCGCUGAACUUAAGC